This 252-nucleotide ribosomal RNA is filed under the name uncultured prokaryote. Its description in RNAcentral is "partial 16S ribosomal RNA". It matches the Rfam family "Bacterial small subunit ribosomal RNA", at positions 524 to 776 of the family's 1533-position model. The record is from RNAcentral.
UACGUAGGGGGCGAGCGUUAUCCGGAAUUAUUGGGCGUAAAGAGUGCGUAGGUGGUUUUUUAAGCGUGGGGUGAAAGGCAAUAGCUUAACUAUUGUAAGCCCCGCGAACUGGGAGACUUGAGUGCAGGAGAGGAAAGCGGAAUUCCUAGUGUAGCGGUGAAAUGCGUAGAUAUUAGGAGGAACACCAGUGGCGAAGGCGGCUUUCUGGACUGUAACUGACACUGAGGCACGAAAGCGUGGGGAGCAAACAGA